UGGGGAAUUUUGCACAAUGGGGGAAACCCUGAUGCAGCGACGCCGCGUGAUUUAGAAGGCCUUCGGGUUGUAAAAAUCUUUUCUAUGGGUAGAAAAUGACAGUACCAUAGGAAUAAGGACCGGCUAAUUACGUGCCAGCAGCCGCGGUAAUACGUAAGGUCCGAGCGUUGUCCGGAAUCAUUGGGCGUAAAGGGUACGUAGGCGGGUAAGCAAGUUAGAAGUGAAAUCCUGUAGCUCAACUACAGUAAGCUUUUAAAACUGCUCAUCUUGAGAUAUGGAAGGGAAAGUGGAAUUCCUAGUGUAGCGGUGAAAUGCGCAGAUAUUAGGAGGAAUACCGGUGGCGAAGGCGACUUUAUGGCCAUAAUAAGACGCUGAGGUACGAAAGCGUGGGUAGCAAACAGG
RNAcentral lists this ribosomal RNA (402 nucleotides) under Bacteroidota bacterium. RNAcentral's name for it is "Bacteroidetes bacterium partial 16S ribosomal RNA". It matches the Rfam family "Bacterial small subunit ribosomal RNA", at positions 355 to 776 of the family's 1533-position model. The record is from RNAcentral. Lineage: Bacteria; Pseudomonadati; Bacteroidota.